AAGUCGUAACAAGGUCUCCGUAGGUGAACCUGCGGAGGGAUCAUUAACACGUAUCCACGUAUCAACCAAAACGCGAACUUGGAAACACAAAAAUAUCUGAAUAAGAUCUUCGAGUGAAUCUAAUUCUCCCUAAAGUUGGAAACUGCAUUCAAAGACUUCUGUGAUGGGUAUCAAAUACGCUAUGCGUAUGAGAUACGGUUUUUGUUUGCUCGAGGUUCGACCUCAAUGUUUUCUUCUUUAGGCUAUUUUUACCAUUGCAGUACCAACCCCUUUCACAUUUUUAAUACCAAUUGACUAACCUUAUUUAACGAAAGUUAAAUAUGAUAUUCAAACUAAAAGCACAACUCUUAGCAAUGGAUAUCUUGGUUCUC
This 371-nucleotide unclassified non-coding RNA is filed under the name fungal sp. RNAcentral's name for it is "partial internal transcribed spacer region". The stretch from base 1 to 46 matches the Rfam family "Eukaryotic small subunit ribosomal RNA", at positions 1786 to 1831 of the family's 1831-position model. The record is from RNAcentral. Lineage: Eukaryota; Fungi.